UACAGAGGGUGCAAGCGUUAAUCGGAAUUACUGGGCGUAAAGCGUGCGUAGACGGUCAUGUAAGUCGGGUGUGAAAGCCCCGGGCUCAACCUGGGAACUGCAUUCGAGACUGCAUGGCUAGGGUGCGGAAGAGGGAAGCGGAAUUUCCGGUGUAGCGGUGAAAUGCGUAGAUAUCGGAAGGAACACCAGUGGCGAAAGCGGCUUCCUGGUCCAGCACCGACGUUCAGGCACGAAAGCGUGGGGAGCAAACAGG
Molecule: ribosomal RNA, 253 nt
Filed under: uncultured bacterium
Lineage: Bacteria
Description: partial 16S ribosomal RNA
Rfam family: Bacterial small subunit ribosomal RNA
Source: RNAcentral